UCUUUUAUCAAUAUGCACCUGUUUAAUAAAUUUCAUUACUUGUAUAUGAACCACGUAAGAAAAGCUUCACCUUCUCUUUAUUUCCAUGAACUUCUGGAACAAAAAAGAAUAAUCACUAUUCUUAGAUUUCUUUACUCCCAUGUUAAGAGAUGAAACUGUGCUGGUUUGCUUGUGGAAAUUAAUUAUUGGAGUUGAAAAGGGUGAAAAUUUCGGGUAACAAAGUGCAAAUAGUCAUUUAUUUUAUUCUAUAUUUUUGCAUUUUAAGUGAUUCUGCUUUAUUUCUGCUAUCAUAAACGUGUAGGGCAUGAGAAAAUUAAUUAUCUUUUCGAACUACCUCACUGUUUUAUUCUAUAUUUUUAUUCUCUUUAUUCUUAAGGAGUAGUUUCUAGUUUUCAGGUCGGACUACUUUUCUUCAUCUCAAUGUUCUUCACAAUAUUUUUAACCGAAUAUUUCUAAUUUUUGAUGAUUUCUUAUGAAUGUAUUAGGGUUUGGUGAUUUUGAUGGAUUCUUAGCUAAUUCAAAUAAGGAGUGCUUGUCUCAUCUCAAAGGUUUGUGCAAGCCUAUUUCUUUUCAUAUAAAAAGGUUAGUAUAGAAACUGAUACUCAAAACUUAAUUAAUAUCUUCUAGGAUAAGCAAAACCCUCAUGCCAAUGUGGAUGCCCUUUCAAUUUCGGAAUAAAACUUCUCACUGUAUUUUAAUCCUUCAUAUUUUCUUUGUUUCUCAAUUUACGUUUACAACUCAAAUGAUUUGUUGAAUUUUACCCCAUUUAUAAUAACAGGAGAUACUGGCUGGAUUGUUUUCUUGAACACCAUGAAAUCUUUAUUUACUAUCAAUUGCUGAGUGGAAAAUUUUAUAAUAAUCAAAAGGCUUGGAUGAGAGAUUGCUCCAUGAAUUAUUCAAUUGCUUGUGGAAGUGAUCAGUGGCUAUUGUUGAAGUUUAAAUGUACUUAUCCAUCAGCUCUAAUGUUAUUAACAUCAUUAAAUUUCACAUUGUGAGAAAUUAAGGAAUGCCCCCCAACAAUUUAUGUCUAUUUGUCAUUACUUAAGCAUUCUUUAGAACAUGUUAUAUCUAGAAUCAUUUUUCACAUAAGAUGUAUUCCUGAUUUAUAUUACUCCUGAAUAUUCAGGAAUCUUACUAAAAUACACAUGUCAUUUACAGAUUUACUCCAUUCUUAAUUUGUUAACAUUACUCCGCACACCCAACGUAUAAAUUGCUAUAUAUUCUCGACUUUUCUCCCAAAAAUUCUGCCAAAAAGGAUUUAUAGCAGUAAUUUUUUACGUUGCAUGUUUGUAGCUAUGAUUAUGGUAUAAAUAAGAAUAUAUAGAAUAUUAUUUACCUGAAGAUAACUCUGAAGAUUGUAGCUAAGUUUAAUCAGGAAGUUGAACAGAGUUUUAAAAUUGGUUCAAUAAUCUAAUUGCGGGAUUAUAAACAGAAAUUAGAACGUCUGUUACCAAAAAAAAUGUAACAAAAACAAACGUAAAAGGCCAGAAAGCCUAUAUAUAUCAUGCCAUUACUGGGAAUUAUUGUAUAAUUUAAUUUCAGAAUACGACGAAUUGUUAGUAAUAGGAUAUCUGAACGGGAUCGACGCAUAAUCUGAUCGCUGUUGAUUUACUGGAUUCUGCUUUCCAUAAUCCUUGAAUUCGUCACUGACACACUGUUGAUUCACUGAUACACUGCCAAUUGUUGUAUGAUGCAUUCGACUUGGUAGCAGUCAAGUCACAUUUGGGAACAAAUGGUCCAGUCUUAUGCUUUCUAGGGGUUGUUUCUUUACUUGAAAUAACCAUCAUUGUUUAGUAAAACCCCAUUUUAGAUUCUUUAAUUUCUAGUGUAAAUAUUGAUGAUUUCUUGUUUAUUAUGAAGGGGGAAUGGUCUUUUCCUAUUACAGGCUCUUCCUUGUUUUAGGUGUUUCAAAAACUGAACUAUUGUUUGAUGUUACAAUUUCAAGUAAAACACUUUGUAACUAUAAAACUGAACUAUUGUUUGAUGUUACAAUUUCAAGUAAAACACUUUGUAACUAUAUGUAUAUACUGGAUGAAUCACAAUCUUUUAACUCCAUGUUAUUUGCGAGUGCAGGACAGCAAGCAUUUUAUUUACUUCAGGACUAUUUGCAUUAUUGCUAAUUAUCAUAUCUGAUGGUCUAACAGUGAACCUAAUUAAUCCAGUAAUUGGUCUCUCCCUUCAGAAUUUCUAAUGAUUCUCCUUGUAUAUUGUUUGAUGUUUUUUUAUAAUGUUAGUCAGAACAUUAGGUGAAGAGCUGUGGUAUGAAUGAUCAAGCCCUUUUAAUUUUCACAUGAGGAGCUGGGGGUUAGGUUCGGCAACCGAACAAUAUCUCUAUUUGAAGAAAAAGUGGCAGCAACUGUCAAAUUGAAAUAGAGGGCGGGUUGGUUGGGUUGGUUGUUUUUGUGAACUUACUAUUUCUUCUAUCUACAAGGAAAAGGCUGAACCAUCUUGAUCAUUUUUAAUUAACUGAUCCUUGGUUAAUGUUGUUGUUGCUUAUCUAACAUUGUGCUUAGUAUUUUAAUUGGACAAGAGGAUAAUUAGAAUGCUUGAAUAUAUUGUCACGCUUUUUCUUCUCCGAACUUAUCCUUGUUACUUGCUGUGUUGCCAGGUUUGCUGAAGCUUAAGGUAAUGAAUCCGAUAUCAAGUGAAGGGUCUUCAUGCUUGUUGCUUCUCUCGGCAAAUUCUGGGACAUGUCAAUUUGGGGAAUGAAACAGAAUUGGUAUCAGAACGCUAUGUGUAAUAAUUAAGAUCUUAUUUUUGCCAGCUAGCCUUCAUUCUGUUUUGUUGAUACUCUGAAGUCUGUUAUUGCCAUUAUUCUAUUUUGUCUGAUUCUGUUUGAUGGGUUAUACUGUGCUUGCCCUUUAAUAUUCACGAUGUAAUUAAUAUAUGUAUUUUUGCCAGCUAGCCUUUCAUUGCGGUGUCUGAUUCUGUUUUGUUGAUAUUCA
This is a long non-coding RNA of Asparagus officinalis (garden asparagus), 2945 nucleotides long. RefSeq lists it as uncharacterized. The transcript is spliced from 2 exons. NCBI's taxonomy places the organism in Eukaryota, Viridiplantae, Streptophyta, Magnoliopsida, Asparagales, Asparagaceae. The record is from RefSeq and is a predicted model, not a curated record.